GGCUUCAUAGCUCAGUGGUAGAGCGUUUGCACCGGAAUCGCAAAGGUCAUGGGUUCGAAUCCUGUUGGAGCCU
Molecule: transfer RNA, 73 nt
Filed under: Desmophyllum pertusum
Lineage: Eukaryota; Metazoa; Cnidaria; Anthozoa; Scleractinia; Caryophylliidae
Description: Lophelia pertusa tRNA
Rfam family: tRNA
About the family: Transfer RNA (tRNA) molecules are approximately 80 nucleotides in length.
Source: Rfam by way of RNAcentral